GGCUCUUUCACCCUCUGCCUUAGGGACCUCUGACAUCUGGAGGCUGGGAGUGAGGAGAGUGUUUCCUGCUUUUGUUCCUGGAGACAAACUUUCUCCUGACAUUCAGCAUCUCUUCAGCCCAGGAGGCUCUGCAAUAUUUAAUAGACUAAGCUCUGUAAGGAGGCACUUGAUUCAACAUUUGGAAGAUCACAGCUGCAGCCAGCGUGGAAUGGGGAGGAAGAAGAGGGAGACACCGGGGUCGCAGUGCGCAGCGUGCAACCCUCUGCACCUGCCGGCCCUCUCACCUCUUCACACGGCGUUUGCUCUUUCAUUCACUCAACAACAAUUCUGUGCCCUUUAUACGUGCUGGGCACUGCUCUAGGCACUGGAGACGAUGAGGAGAAGACACUUCCCACCUUCAUGGAGCUUAUUUGCUGGUGGGGACCGCAGGUGAUAAACAGACAAAGUGCCAAGUAAUGAUAAGGGAAGAGUGUGUGUGUGUGUGUGUGUGUGUGUGUUGUGUGCGCGCGUGAUUACAUGCAGGGUAACUAGGGAAGGCUUCCUUGGGAAAGUUUUUUUUUUAUAUUUUAGCAGAGACCUGGAUAAAGGGAGGAAGUACACCAUAUGGAACCUGGGGGAAGAGAAUUCCAAGUGAAAUGAGCAGCCAGUGGGGGUGGGAGCUGAGAUGGGCCUGUGCUUGACACGUUUAAGGGGGAGCAGAGAAGCUGGUUAACUUGGGUGUCCUAAGGAAAGAGGAGAACAGGUGUAGUGGGUGGCUCACACCUGUAAUCCCAGUACUUUGGGAGGCUGAGGUGGGAAGAUUGCUUGAGCCCAGGAGUUCGAUACCAGCCUGGGCAAAGGAAGUUAGGUCCGGGAGAUCACCUGCCAGGGCCAGAUGACAGAGGGCUCUUUACUGUCUUGGCCGGGUGACAGCGAGCCAUCGGAGGGAUGGAGAGCAGCAUGUAGCAUCGUCCAGUGUGUGCUUAUGGGAAUCACCCAGCUGCCACGUGUGACUCUCUUCCCGUGGGGGCAGCAGCUACAGGGUGAGCACCGCUAGGAGAUAAUGCCUGGGAAUAUCCUUCUUAAAUUCUUGAAUGUAAAUUCACUUUACAAGGUGCGUCAUUGUGUCCCCUCUCUGGGGACAGCUGUGUGGUGUGGUGGAAAGACGAGGGCAUGUGAAGACAGGGGAACAGUCCUGUGACCCUGGGCAAGUUGCUUCAUUUUUCAAUCCAGUCGCCCAAUUUGUAAAAUAGGGAUUGUAACGUACCCCACGACAAGCCUGUUGCGGGAGUCAGGCAGGAUGAUGGGGGUGAAAUUGCUUUGAUGGUGUGAGGUGCUACAUGCCAGGCUGUGACCUUUAAUAACCACCGAGGGGGUGGGCUUGCUUUGUGCUGUACCCACCCUCCCUUCACCCAGCCUUCACCUCUGUAAGUGGCCCUUCUGUUACAGUCUCUUCAUUUGGACCAGCCAAGAUGAUUUUUUUUUCUGCCAGGAUCCUGGCUGAUAACAACUCUAGUGAAUAUUCAUCCAUUUCCAUGUUUGGGCAUCUGCUGAGGGCCUCUAACUCUAAAUCCCAUUGUUUUCUCUUCUUAAAGACCCAGACUGGUGUGUCGAUUGCCUGUGGGUCUCGUGUUUCGGCACAUUUGGGAGCAGAGGCAAGGACUCCUCUUUUCCAAAGUAUCUUUUUUUUUUUUUCCAGACAGGGUCUCAGUCUGUUACACAGGCUGGAGUGCAGUGGUGCAAUCUCAGCUCACUGCAACCUUUGCCUCCUGGGCUCAAGUGAUCCUCCCACCUCAGCCUCCCAAGUACCUGAGACUACAGGUGCGCGCCACCACGCCCAGCUAAUUUUUGUAGAGAUGGCUUCUCACUAUGUUGCCCAGGCUGGUCUUGAGCUCCUGAGCUCCAGCAGUCCUCCCGCCUCUGCCUCCCAAAGUGCUGGGAUUACAGGCAUGAGCCAUCACACCCAGCCUGUUACACUCUCUUAGAUUCCACAUAGGAGUGAGAUCCUGCGGGAUUUUCUCCCUGUGCCUGGCUUAUUUCACUUAGCAUAACGUCCUCCAGGUUUAUCCAGGCCAUGCAAAUGAAGGAUUUUCUUCUUUUUUAGGCUGAAUACUAUUCAGUUAUGUUAUAUGCCAUGUUUUCUUUAUCUGCUUACCCACUGAUGGACACUUAGGUUGUUUCAUGUCUUGGCCAUUGUGAGCAGUGCUACAAUGCACCUGGGGGGUGGGUGAAGAUGUCUCUUUGACACACUGAUUUCAUUUCCUUUGGGUAGAUACCCAGCAGUGGGAUUGCUGGAUCGUAUGGUAGUUUCAUCUUUAAUUUUUUGAGAAUGUCCGUACAGUUUUCCAUAACGACCGCGCUAAUUCACAUUCCCGCCAGCAGUAUGCAAGGGCUGCCUCUCCUCCGCAUCCUUGCCAGCACGUAUCUUUCCUCUUUGAUAACAGCCAUUCUGACAGGUGCGAGUGGUGUCUCCUCCUUGUGGUUUUGAUUUGCAUUUCCCUGAUGAUUAGUAAUGGAGCAUGUUUUCAUGUGGCGAUUGAUCUUGUAUUCUUACAGCACGUGACAGUUUCAAAACAUGGUCAUAUACAUUCUCUCAAACAUGUGAAUGAAUGUGGCCCUCACUACAGGGUGUUCAGAUGGUUAAUUUUAUGUGUCAACUUGGCCGGGCCUCAGGGUGCCCAGCUGUUUGGUCAAACAAUAUUCUGGGUGUUUGUGUGAGGAUGUAUUGGAUGAGAUUAACGUUUAAGUUGGUGGACUUGGAGUAAAGGAGAUUGUCCUCUGGAAUAUGGGUGGGCUUCAGCCAAUCAGCUGAAGGCCUAAAUGCAGUAAAAGGCUGACCUCCCCUGAGCAAGAAGGAAUUCUGCCAGCCUUUGGACUUGAACCACGACGUGGGCUCUUCCCUGGGUCUCCAGCCUGCUGGCCCACUCUACAAAUUUUGGACUUGUCAGCCUCCAUAAUUGUGUAAGCCAAUUCCUUAAAGCCUGGUUUCUCUCUCUCACUCUCUCUUUCUAUAUAUAUAUAUAUAUAUUCUAUAUCUAUAUCUAUCUAUGUAACUAUAUAUCUGUAUCUAUCUAUCUGUAUUUUAUUGACUCUGUCUGCAGAAUCCUAACUAAUACAGGUGGGUACUAUCCCCAUUUUACAGACAAAGAUUAAAUUGAGUCUCAGAAAUGUGAGCUAUGAAUAAGAUACUUCUUCAUAGCUAGUGAAGAGAACCAAAUCCAAUGCUUCUAGACUUUCAACCUCGCAGGCUUUCCUUCACUGUCUGCUACCUUUGCUACCCCUCUGCUCUAUAAUCUUCAAGGAUUUUUCACUGCUGAAGGCAUCACGCCUGAACUCCUUUCCUUGGCAUUUAGGUGCUGCACAGUAUGGCUGCGUUUCCUCCUCUCCACUCAGGUAUUUCUCCUCAGCGGCACCCCCCUCUGGCACCCACAAGGGAGAAGUAAAGAUCUCCUAGUGGUGGCAGAGCCCAUUAUCCAACCUGGAGAGAAACAGAUCAUUCCGUAGGCUGACGCUAUAAUUAAAGGUUAAAGGUAUAAAUCUGCUGCGCAGAUAUGAUGAAAAGAAAGCAUCUCUUAGACUGGGUAGGACUUUAAAUGUAAGCUCCAAGGUGCAUGUCCCUGCAGCCUGGAGGGCUGGCGCGUAGGUUUCUGACAGGCGCCAGGGGCCUCUGGUAACGGGGGUGCCCAUGUGGCCACUCGCCAGGGCUGCACUGUCUGGUAUGGUAGCCACUAGCAUAUCUGGUUCUUUACAUUUUUUUUUUUUUGAGACGGAGUCUUGCUCUGUAGCCCAGGUUGAAGCGUAGUGGCGUGAUCUUGGCUGCAAUCUCCACCUCGUGGGUUCAAGCAAUUCUCCUGCCUCAGCCUCCCAAGUAGCUGGGAUUACAGGCACAUGACACCACCCCUUUUUGUAUUUUUAGUAGAGACGGGCUUUCACUAUGUUGGCCAGGCUGGUCUUGAACUCGUAACCUCAGGUGAUUCACCCGCCUCAGCCUCUCAAAGUGCUGGGAUUACAGGCAUGAGCCACCAUGUCUGGCCUUUUACAUUUAAAUUAAUGACGAUGAAAUAGAAUUCGAACCUCAGUUCCUCAGGCACAUUGGCCAUGUUGUAAGUGCUGAGAAGCCCCCUCUGCUUGGCUAGUGGCUGCCAUAUUGAAUGUCUCCAUCACUGCAGAAAGUCAAACUGCAAAGCAUUGAAGUAGAGAGACCAGUCCCAAGUAUGGAUCCCAAAGCCCUUGGUCACAGCUGGUUAGUGACAGAGCGAGGACUAUGACAGAGAAGGCUGGGGCGAGAGGAGGCUGAGAGCCACAGACCCUUCCAGAAGGACAAAGGAAGCGUCCUCGUGGUUCAUGGUGAUUGUCUCUGCAAUGCCUGGGGGCCAGAGAGAGUAGCCCCCCGCCUCAGCUGGGAGGUGCCACCCAGGCCACGGCUCCAGCAACCUGGGCUGCAGGCAGAAGUUUGGCUCUGCCCCCACACUCCCGGAGCCCCACCCCAGGAAGGCACAGUGGCAACACCACACUAAAGCUACGACUUCAGUCUGAGGUUCAGUUCAGAGGUACACGUGCAGGAUGCGCAGGUUUGUUAUGCGGGUAAAGGUGUGCCAUGGAGGUUUGCAGCAGAGACCAUCGAAUCACCCAGGGAUGAAGCCCAGCAUGCAUUGGCUAUUCUUCCUGAUAUGCUCCCUCCCCCGACCCCAUUGACCUCUGACAGGCCCCGGUGUGUGUUGGCCCCCAUGAGUCCGUGCGUUCUCCGAGUGCAUUCUCUUCCCACAGCAUUGGUUGUCUUGCUCAAGCCCACUGCUCUCCGCAGACAGCCCGUGAAGCUGGUUUCCAGAUGUACCAUCAAAUUCGAGAUUCGCCAAGAAGCCCCAGAGGCUUGACCGACCUGAAGUCCCAUGGAGUCAGCAAGGAGAUAUUUGGGAUCAAGUUGAAGGUCAGGCAGUUUUUGAAACACUCUCCUUAAGACCAAGUCCUGGUCCAGGGUGGGUCCGUCCUUCUGAACCUGAGUGGGUCUGCGCGUGAGACAAGCCUGAUGAAGACUACUGGAAGAUCGCUGUAUUGGGUUUUCCAGAGAAACAGAAGCAACAGCACGGGUGAGUGUGUGUGUGUGUGUGUGUGUGUCUGUGUGUUAUUGGCUCAUGCAAUUACGGAGGCUGACAAGUCUCAAGAUCUGCAGUCAGCAAGCUACAGACCCAGAAGAGCUGACGGUAUAGUUCCCAUCCGAAGGCCCGCAGGCUUGAGACCCAGGAGAGCCAGCAUUUCUGUUCAAGUCUGAAGGCAGAGACAAGCUGCCGUCCCAGUUUGAAGGCAGUCAGGCAGGAGGAAUUCUCUCUUCCUCGAGGGAGGGUCAAACUUCUCGUUCUAUUUAGGUCUUCAGUGGGUUGGAUGAGGCCCACCACACUGGGAAGGGCCAUCUGCUUUACUCAGUCUGCAGAUUCAAUUGCUCAUCUCAUCCAGAGACACGUUACAGGCAAACAGAACAGUGCUUGGCCAAAUAUCUGGGCCCGUGUGGCCCACACAAGUUGACAGGUAAAAUUACCCACCACAAUUAUGAGGUGUCUUCCUGUGGCCUCAGCUUGCCGGGCUGAGCUAUGAGUGACUCCUGCAGAAUCUAGCUGGGGAUGGAGGAGGUGUCCCUAGGUAUGAAGUGUUUGCACAGCCCAGCUAGAAGGUGAUCAGCUUUGGGACAGGUCGUAAUAUAGCAAUCAGAAUAAUAAGAAAUCUAUCUUGGAAUCUUAUAGGGCUUUGGGAUUUGCAAAGCACUUCCACACCCAUGACCUGGUUUUCCCUUCCCAGCAGUCCUGUGCCUUAUUACUGCCAUUCUACAGAAGAGAGGGCAGGUGUGAAAGGGGUAAGAGUUUCGCCAAGGUUACAUGCGAAGCCAGACGCAGUCAGCUUUCCCCAGGUGCUGGGGAGCUUGGGUGGGAGGAACAGUACAGCUGCAGAGUGUGAGCAGAACCGCAGCGGGCAAGGGGGCAGCCUAGUGUGUGCCACAGGCAGGAGAGAGCCAAGGACACAGCGUGCUGCCGCCUGGCCACAGUGACAAGCAGGGCUGUCACUUAGGCGUGGAGACGGCUGUGGCUGACGGAGCCUGCUGGCAGUGGCAGCUGAGGUCAGAAACCCAGGGCUAGCAGGGAUGCAGCCAGACGGUGGGUGAGGAGCAGCCAAAUCUGUCACUGAGUCAAGGGCAGGCCUGAUGCCUUGGGGAGGAGGCCAGAGAAGCUAGCUGGUGGCAGCCCUGGCUCUGCGGCCCUGUCCUAGAGGCCUGCACUGAGUGCCUGCCCCGGGGGGACGCUGCUCCUGGGCCUUUCCUUACUGACCGUGAAGGGACAGAGAAGGCGGGUGAGCUCAGGACUGCUUCUUUGGCCGAUGCAUCUUUUGGCCGUCCAUCGGCCAGGGUCUGGGUGGUUGCAUCCUGGAAGUCCUCCUUCCUGGCACUGUGCCCAGUGCCAGUGCAUGGGAGACCCUCGAUGCAGAUGUGUGGAGGGAAGACACCAGAAAACCCUACAGGCGGGCAUGUGCCUGGUGCCCGGUGGAGAGUAUGGGAAGGAGAAGAUGCCGACAGACACCAGUUGCCACCUUGGGGGUGGGUGAGCAGGGCCAGAGGCAGAGAGCACUGUGGACUGAGGGACCAUGAGGGCCCCCGAGGAGUGGGGAGAGGAGAGCAGGCCUGGGGGAGACUCCGGUAAAUAGAGAAGAAGGGCCAGAGGGAAAAGAGGGCGAGUGGAGGAGGGGCUCACUCGGCAGGAGAGCUGGGCAGCGUGAACCCAGCCUCCGGGCUGGGUAAGGGAGGUGAGAUGAGGCCACAGCCAUGGAGCGGGAGAAGGGGAAAGGUGAGUGCAGGAGUCCUGAGCGGCUGGCGAAGUUCCGCCCAGUGAAACACAGUCACGUGGAGAAUAAGGGGUUCGGGAAACGGUGGAAACAAUGGGCCUCUCCCCUGCCUUAUGUGGAGGCACAGGCUCCAGUGUCUGACCUGGGUGGGGACAGGGUUCCACUGGACCUGUGUCUCAUGGUGCUGAACCCACAGGUGCCCAGAGCCCAGGUGCUGGCGAGAGGGUCCUCCCUCCAUGGUGUCCUGUGCCCCAGACCCUGAAGCUCCCUUACUCCUGCCCUCCAGUCCUCUUUGCUGACCCUCACAUCUUCCUGAUCCUCUGCCCACACGUGGGCACCCUCCCCUCCUUGCCAGUUUUGCUGACACCAGCUGCUUAGGGCCCCCUCCCUGGGGCUGUCACUCUACCAGCUGUUCUGGUUUACCUGAGACCUUAGAGCAAGAAACAGGCGGUUUUCCUCCUUCACAGUGCCUCAGUGCCCGUAUUGGCUCACAACUGACCCCCGGCCCUUGGGGGAGGUUUUUAUUUUUUUCACUGCUGGAGAAAUGCUUUCCUUUUAAAUACCUAGAAGGACAAGCCUGCAGGAAAUCUCAAGAGUAUACAAUAACUGACUCACGAUGACAUUUCAUUCUGUGGAAGCUCAUGCUUAGAAAUUGGAAGGCCUACCAAACCUUUGAAAGAAAGAACAGAAAGGAAAAAAUAUGUAACCCAUACACAUCUAUAUACACACAAAUAAAUAUAUGUUUCCUUUAUAUAUGUAUGUGUGUGCGUGCAUGUAUUUUUUUACAUAUACAUAUACACACAUAUAUAUUCUAGGGUUCUACAUGAACUUCAACAUCAAAUAUUUCAAGUAACUUUCAGCAAGAAACAAAAUCUUUUUCUUGAAAGAGGAAGUUAGGAAUUGGAAGAGGACAAAGGAGAUACACAGAUUGUUUUAGAGUAACGUGUUCUUUCCCCCACCCAGCUUUAUUGAAGUGUAAUUGGCAAAUAAAAAUGAUAUCUACUUAAGCUGCACGGCAUGAUGCUUUGACAGUGUGUGCGUUGUGCAAUGAUCACCACAGUCGAGCUGAGGAACAUACGCAUCACCGUCAUCCCCUCUGGAGAGUUUUGACCAAGAUACUACACAUAAAGGUGUCCAGACGCUUCCCCACGGCCCCAGUGACUACUCACUCUUCCUCCUAUAGACAGGGAGACGGAGGCUCAGACCCAGGGGAGACCGGUUGGGUCAGUUCAGCAGAGACUUCGUCCCCAGAUUAUUCUUGGGGUUUUGAAUAUUAGGGGUGUGUGAGUGUAUCAGUCAGAGCGCUUCAGAGAAAUAAACCAACAGGCUAUGUGUAUGUGUACGUUUAUUUGCAUGUAUAUGGAGAUUUAUUAUGAUCUCACAUUUGUUAUGAGCCUCACUUUACUCGGCAGGCUGAGGAGCCCCACCCUGUGCUGUCUGCAAGGUGGGGACGAGAAAGGCCCGUGGUGUAAUCCCAGUUUGAAUGCAAAGGGCUGUAGACCAGAAGGAGCCAGGGAAGAGGCAAGGAGACGUCCCAAGCCGGCAGGCAGGAAGGACGAACCCCCUCUGCUGCCCUCACGUUCGACCCAGGCCCUCAAUGAACUGGAUGAGGCCCCCUACAUUGGAGGGCAGUCUACUGCGUCCACUGAUUCAAAUGCGAAUCCCAUCCAGAAAUACCCUCAUAGGCACCCCCAGCAAUAAUGUUGAGUGUGGACACAGCCCUCCCUCACCUGUGCUGGGAGUGGGGCUGCAGUCCUGCCUUGCUCCCCAAAUGAAACCUCCCAGCCUCGAGAGGACUUAGCUACCGGCCCACUCAGAAGGACCUGCGGCUGGGCUGGGCAGAGCAGUGUGGUGGCGGCAGGUCUGCCUGGCCAGGGUUGCAGAGCAAGGAUGGUCACCCCGGCCCUCGGCUCACUUGCUGGGUCUUAGGUGUGAGGAGAGAGGUCUUAGAUGCCUGUUGGUGGUGACCACGGCCAUUCUGCAAAGCAGGAGGGUCAAUCAAACACACCAUUCAUCAGGGGGUCCUUAUGGGCAUUUCUCCGGAUUCUAAUGCUCAGUUUUUAUUUUCUAAAUAGACAUUUACUACUCGUCCCUCUCUGUUGUUUCUGUGGUAAAAGUGGGAUUGUUAACUUGAAGUCCGUCUGAGCUCAGAUAAACUCGUAAGUAGCAGAGGUAGUCACUCGGAAGGGGCUCACAGACUGCCCCGCUCUGCUCAUUUCACACCUGGUCCCAUUUUAGCAAAUCUCAAAGUGGAACAGGUGCGAUUGUAUUCUGUCUUCUAAGGUAACAUCAAUUACAUAGCAGACAUUUUUCAAAGGAUCCAAGUCAUCUUUUACUAUACUCUUUCCUUUAAAGGUGAUGUUUCUCUCUCUCUGCAGGGCAGGGAAAUUAAACCAGUAGCCUGGAGUUUCCCCCAACUUCCAAGCGUUGUUCAGUGCUUCAGGUUGAUGUAGACCUUGUGAAGUGCCUUCCCAGGAUGGAGAAGAGCUGGUUCCCAGCUCCACGGAGAUCACACCAGGAGGUUGUAGAGCACCCGCGGCGCCCCCUGCUAAAGGUCGUUUGGUCCCUGCGGUUACCACCAAUAUUCUACUGUCUGCCGAGAGCAAGGCAUUAGGCUAGGUGUGAAGCCUCCUUCCACCUCUGUGGCUGGCAGACAUCCUCAUUCUAUUUUGCUCCCUGCCUCCCCAAUCUCAGAAAUCCUGACCUGCGGAAAAGACGAAACCUCUCCCAGCCCUCUCUUCAGCAUCUCCACUCCUGGUGAUUCAGAAAGAGCCGGGACAGACCACCCAGUCCCAUCUCCUGCUUCUGGGCUGCACAGACAACGACAGAGCAAGCUCCCCUUGGUCUCAUCUACUCACUGGCUUGCUCUGCCCUGCACAUUAACAGCCAGCAAGAGAGGAAAGAAACUCUGGAAAGAACCCAAAGUGGCCAUUAGAUGAUUGUUAUUAUGUUGGUGCCUGUUGCAAUGAUAUAAAUCUGGGGUCUUAAUAAAAUCCAACAUUUUCCAAUUA
Long non-coding RNA from Pan troglodytes (chimpanzee), 9815 nucleotides. RefSeq lists it as uncharacterized. The transcript is spliced from 3 exons. NCBI's taxonomy places the organism in Eukaryota, Metazoa, Chordata, Mammalia, Primates, Hominidae. The record is from RefSeq and is a predicted model, not a curated record.